GGGGAGAGAGGAACAGAAACAAACAAACAGUGCGCUCAUCCAUGACAUUGAUAAUGUACCAAACGCUGCCGGUGGCCAGUGACAGACGUCUCCGUCACACCCGCGAUCAUGCAGUCACCACUUCAGCCUCAAACUUAACUGUCAAACCAACGUGUUUUCAUCCCUCGUUAUCUAAACCUGACGACUGGACAUUGCUCCUUCAGCUUCAUACAUCCGAAGCGGAAUCUGCCUGUGGCCAUGACCCCAUUUGGAUGUGGGGAUAGUAGAGGGAAACGAUGCCUUACUCCAAGAACUCCAGGAGCUCUUGGACAUAUCCGAUGUCCACGAUGAGACAUCACCACCACUGCUCAACGGCCUCAUAAGACUGGGAUACAAGACAGCAACUGUCCACAAAAAGGUGGAAGGAGGCAAGACCAUAUCGCAUUGAUAACUGGCUGGCAGAAGAGGAUCAUCACCCAGAUGUCAACAGUGCAGUACCAACCCAGCUGUAAUGCGCUGAAGAAAUUGCCUUCUGUGUCCCUUCUUCUGUGAGAAGCACAGCCGCGAGCUGCCCAGUGACACGAGCCUACCAGACAAGCUAAAAUACUUCAAUGCUCGCUUCGAGGCAAGCAACACUGAAGCAUGCAUGAGAGCAUCAGCUGUUCCGGAUGACUGUGUGAUCAUGCUCUCCGUAGCCGAUGUGAGUAAGACCUUUAAACAGGUCAACAUUCACAAGGCUGCAGGGCUAGACGGAUUACCAGGACGUGUACUCUGUGCAUGCGCUGACCAACUCGCAAGAGUCGUCACUGACAUUUUCAACCUGUCCACGACUGAGUCUGUAAUACCGACAUGUUUCAAGCAGACCACCAUAGUCCCUGUGCCCAAGAACACCAAGGUAACCUGCCUAAAUGACUACCGACCAGUAGCACUCACAUCUGUAGCCAUGAAAUUCUUUGAAGGGCUGGUCAUGGCUCACAUCAACACCAUUAUCCCAGAAACCUUAGACCCACUCCAAUUUGCAUACUGCCCCAACAGAUCCACAGAUGAUGCAAUCUCUAUUGCACUCCACACUGCCCUUUCACAAAUAGACAAAAGGAACACCUAUGUGAGAAUGCUAUUCAUUGACUACAGCUCAGCAUUCAACACCAUAGUGCCCUCAAAGCUCAUCACUAAGCUAAGGACCCUGGGACUAAACACCUCCCUCUGCAACUGGAUCCUGAACUUCCUGACGGGACGCCCCCAGGUGGUAAGGCCCAGAUGCUGUGCGUGUAUCAGCGGGAGUCACGUCUAGCCGGUCAACAAGUUCAUCCACGAAGUGUUCACGAAGAUGAACGAGGACGGGUAUAAGACCCAAUUUGAUGAAGAGGGCCGUGUGGUCUGGAGAGACAUCAUUCUGCCUAUCCCAAUCAAUCUUGGAGAGAAGGUGGAUAUAGCCCAGAUGAUGCGUGCAGCGGGUAACGAGCACUUACUGACCAUUCUACAAUACCCUGAUGCUGGACAUCUCAUUAAGCUGCCCUACACGCCCUACAGAACGCCAAUGCUCAAGAAGACUCCUGUGAAAAGAGCCUUGACUUUCUAAGGCAACACCUGUACCCCAGACAUGACUCUGUCCCUAAGGCCAAGCUGUGAUGUCACGCCCGAGAAGCCUCCAGGACCUAGUAUGAACAAGUCUCUCAUUCACUGUACUGUCUGAGUUUCAACCUUCCCAUAGUGUUAACACCUGUGUCUAUAACCUAACUGCCA
Oncorhynchus tshawytscha (Chinook salmon) is the source of this 1722-nucleotide long non-coding RNA. NCBI's taxonomy places the organism in Eukaryota, Metazoa, Chordata, Actinopteri, Salmoniformes, Salmonidae. The record is from Ensembl.